GCGAAAUUCUUCGUGACAGUUGCUUGCAUGAGAACUUUCAGUAAUAAGUAUGAUAAAACAAGCACCUGGUCAUUUCAUGCCUUUCAAAUUCUACUUUCACACUCCAUACUGGGAGUACUCAGGUUUGGGCCCCCUAAAAGUACGUCUUAUAUGUUAGUGGGGGUCAUGCAGAGGAUUAGUUGGUAUGAAACUACAUAAGGGUAUUGUACUUAAUUUUUAAGUGUAAAGCUCCAAAGGAAGAAACAGUACUCUCAUUUUAUCAUUUUAUCAAAAUUUCAACUUUGUUGGAACAGGUGGGAAAUAAUAACAUAAUUCAAUGCACUUGUUUUUAAGCAAAAUGUAAAACAUAAAAAGUGAUCCCAAAAAAUGUCAUCCUAUAAUAGAUACAUAAUAUCCUAUAAUAUAUCCUUUUAUUUAGUUGCCACAUAGUUUGCAUAAGUAUGUAUAUAGUUGAACAUUAUGAGAAUUAGUAUGGUAGAUAGAUGAUAAUUUUAUUUAUGUUUUGCAUGCUUGUAAUUUCUUAAUUUUGCUUAUUACAGUAUCAUAAAUAGCGUUUUUUCUGUUUUUCUAUAUUUAUUACUUACAUAAUAAUGAAAUUCAAUUAUGUACUAUAGCUUCCAUCCUAACAUUAUAUAAAUUUUUGUAACGAUUUAAAGAAGUAUAAAUAAUAUGGAUGAAAUUUAAACUUUUUAUCAUUUAUAACAAACUUCUAUUCUCUAAUUCAAAUAGUGAUUAUCAAUUAGUUUUGCUUUGAAAUAUACAAUAUUAUCUAAAUAUUAAUUGUUUCAUAGAAAUUUCAUUAAGUAGAAAAUGAAAUAGAUAAUGAAAUUUUUAUUUUUGUUAAGAGCUAAAAGUAUCCAUUAAUUACAUUAUUUCUCACAAGUUCCAACUGUGCAUUUACUUUUAUAUCUGUAACAAAAUUAUUGAUUAUUUAUUUAUAUAUCAUAUUCAAAAAUUAAAAAUUGUUACUUUUCACAUCUUUUUUGUCUUUUCCUUUAAAUUUCUGGAAACUGAUAUGAACGUAGGUAAACAGUCAGAAAAUUUGACUUUUCAUAAUAGUUCUAAGAACAUUAGAUCUAGAAAAACAUUUACAACUUUGAUGUUUAAAAACAACUAAUUCACGCUAUAAAACAUAGUGAAUAGUAGCACUCAUAAUAUGUAUGUGUGGUAUAGAGCAUAUUAUCUUUAGCAAUAUUGUUUCCAGGAGCUCCAUUUCUUACAUCAGCAACCAGUGUAGCAAGGUAUUUAAGGAUCUUCUACAAUUGGUACUCUAUGAUCGUUGAUAUUAUAUCAUUGGCAUUAUUCACUGCUGGUAUCUUACAAGGAUAU
RNA transcript from Bombus pascuorum, 1329 nucleotides. RefSeq lists it as uncharacterized. Lineage: Eukaryota; Metazoa; Arthropoda; Insecta; Hymenoptera; Apidae. The transcript has 2 exons. The record is from RefSeq and is a predicted model, not a curated record.